This 712-nucleotide ribosomal RNA is filed under the name uncultured bacterium. RNAcentral describes it as "bacterial SSU rRNA". It matches the Rfam family "Bacterial small subunit ribosomal RNA", at positions 30 to 786 of the family's 1533-position model. The record is from RNAcentral.
CGAACGCUGGCGGCAGGCCUAACACAUGCAAGUCGAGCGGGCGUAGCAAUACGUCAGCGGCAGACGGGUGAGUAACGCGUGGGAACAUACCUUUUGGUUCGGAACAACACAGGGAAACUUGUGCUAAUACCGGAUAAGCCCUUACGGGGAAAGAUUUAUCGCCGAAAGAUUGGCCCGCGUCUGAUUAGCUUGUUGGUGAGGUAGUGGCUCACCAAGGCGACGAUCAGUAGCUGGUCUGAGAGGAUGAUCAGCCAUAUUGGGACUGAGACACGGCCCAAACUCCUACGGGAGGCAGCAGUGGGGAAUAUUGGACAAUGGGCGCAAGCCUGAUCCAGCCAUGCCGCGUGAGUGAUGAAGGCCCUAGGGUUGUAAAGCUCUUUUGUGCGGGAAGAUAAUGACGGUACCGCAAGAAUAAGCCCCGGCUAACUUCGUGCCAGCAGCCGCGGUAAUACGAAGGGGGCUAGCGUUGCUCGGAAUCACUGGGCGUAAAGGGUGCGUAGGCGGGUCUUUAAGUCAGGGGUGAAAUCCUGGAGCUCAACUCCAGAACUGCCUUUGAUACUGAGGAUCUUGAGUUCGGGAGAGGUGAGUGGAACUGCGAGUGUAGAGGUGAAAUUCGUAGAUAUUCGCAAGAACACCAGUGGCGAAGGCGGCUCACUGGCCCGAUACUGACGCUGAGGCACGAAAGCGUGGGGAGCAAACAGGAUUAGAUACC